GCCUGGGUGGCUCAGUCGGUUGAGCGUCUGACUUCAGCUCAGGUCAGGAUCUCAUGGUUGGUGAGUUUGAGCCCCGCCUCGGGCU
Felis catus (domestic cat) is the source of this 85-nucleotide transfer RNA. It matches the Rfam family "tRNA". Rfam says of the family: Transfer RNA (tRNA) molecules are approximately 80 nucleotides in length. Their secondary structure includes four short double-helical elements and three loops (D, anti-codon, and T loops). The record is from Rfam. Lineage: Eukaryota; Metazoa; Chordata; Mammalia; Carnivora; Felidae.